AUUGAACGCUGGCGGCAGGCCUAACACAUGCAAGUCGAGCGCGAAAGGUUUUCGGACUGAGUAAAGCGGCGGACGGGUGAGUAAUGCAUGGGAAUCUGCCUGGUAGUGGGGGACAACGUUUCGAAAGGAACGCUAAUACCGCAUACGCCCUACGGGGGAAAGGGGGGGAUCUUCGGACCUCUCGCUAUCAGAUGAGCCCAUGUCAGAUUAGCUUGUUGGUGAGGUAAAGGCUCACCAAGCCGACGAUCUGUAGCUGGUCUGAGAGGACGACCAGCCACACUGGGACUGAGACACGGCCCAGACUCCUACGGGAGGCAGCAGUGGGGAAUUUUGGACAAUGGGCGCAAGCCUGAUCCAGCAAUGCCGCGUGCAGGAUGAAGGCCUCGGUUGUAAACUGCUUUGUACGGUAACGAAACGGUACG
Molecule: ribosomal RNA, 422 nt
Filed under: uncultured bacterium
Lineage: Bacteria
Description: bacterial SSU rRNA
Rfam family: Bacterial small subunit ribosomal RNA
Source: RNAcentral